GAGGAAUAAGCAUCGGCUAACUCCGUGCCAGCAGCCGCGGUAAUACGGGGGAUGCAAGCGUUAUCCGGAAUCAUUGGGCGUAAAGCGCCUGUAGGUUGUUUAAUAAGUCUGUUGUUAAAGACUAGGGCUUAACCCUAGGAAAGCAAUGGAAACUACUAGACUAGAGUAUGGUAGGGGUAGAGGGAAUUUCUAGUGUAGCGGUGAAAUGCGUAGAUAUUAGAAAGAACACCGGUGGCGAAGGCGCUCUACUGGACCAUUACUGACACUCAGAGGCGAAAGCUAGGGUAGCAAAAGGGAUUAGAUACCCCUGUAGUCCUAGCCGUAAACGAUGGAUACUAGAUGUUGCGUUUUUAUGCAGUAUCCUAGCUAACGCGUUAAGUAUCCCGCCUGGGGAGUACGCUCGCAAGGGUGAAACUCAAAGGAAUUGACGGGGGCCCGCACAAGCGGUGGAGCAUGUGGUUUAAUUCGAUGCAACGCGAAGAACCUUACCAAGGCUUGACAUACUACAGAUCUCUUUGAGAAAGGAGAGUGCCUUCGGGAAUGUAGAUACAGGUGGUGCAUGGCUGUCGUCAGCUCGUGUCGUGAGAUGUUGGGUUAAGUCCCGCAACGAGCGCAACCCUUAUUUUUAGUUACCAAUUUUUUGGGUUUUCUAGAGAGACUGCCGGUGACAAACCGGAGGAAGGUGAGGAUGACGUCAAGUCAGCAUGCCCCUUAUGCCUUGGGCUACACACGUGCUACAAUGGCUAAGACAAAGAGUUGCGAACUUGCGAAAGUCAGCUAAUCUCAUAAACUUAGCCUAAGUUCGGAUUGUAGGCUGCAACUCGCCUACGUGAAG
This 835-nucleotide ribosomal RNA is filed under the name Haptophyta environmental samples. RNAcentral describes it as "bacterial SSU rRNA". It matches the Rfam family "Bacterial small subunit ribosomal RNA", at positions 481 to 1325 of the family's 1533-position model. The record is from RNAcentral. Lineage: Eukaryota; Haptophyta.